Molecule: ribosomal RNA, 377 nt
Filed under: uncultured delta proteobacterium
Lineage: Bacteria; Deltaproteobacteria
Description: bacterial SSU rRNA
Rfam family: Bacterial small subunit ribosomal RNA
Source: RNAcentral
UAACACGGGGGGCGCAAGCGUUAUUCGGAAUUAUUGGGCGUAAAGGGCGUGUAGGCGGUCUUAUCGGUCAGAUGUGAAAGCCCAGGGCUCAACCCUGGACGUGCAUUUGAAACAGUAAGACUUGAGUACUGGAGAGGAAAGCGGAAUUCCUGGUGUAGAGGUGAAAUUCGUAGAUAUCAGGAGGAACACCGAUGGCGAAGGCAGCUUUCUGGACAGAAACUGACGCUGAUGCGCGAAGGCGUGGGUAGCGAACAGGAUUAGAUACCCUGGUAGUCCACGCAGUAAACGAUGUACACUAGGUGUAGGGGAUAUUAAAAUUUUCUGUGCCGCAGUUAACACAUUAAGUGUACCGCCUGGGGAGUACGGUCGCAAGACUA